This 204-nucleotide small nuclear RNA is filed under the name Sus scrofa (pig). Its description in RNAcentral is "7SK RNA". It matches the Rfam family "7SK RNA". From Rfam's summary of the family: 7SK was discovered as an abundant small nuclear RNA in the mid-70s but a possible function has only recently been suggested. Two independent studies have found that 7SK RNA binds the CDK9/cyclin T complex (known as elongation factor P-TEFb). Lineage: Eukaryota; Metazoa; Chordata; Mammalia; Artiodactyla; Suidae. The record is from Rfam by way of RNAcentral.
GAAUGGGAGGCCAUCUGGCUGCAACAUCUGUCACCCCACGGAUCGCCAGGGUCGAUUCUUCGGCGGAUCUGGCUGGCUCGGCAGGUGUCCCCUUCCUCCCUCACGGCUCCAUGUGCGACCCUCCCAAAGCUGCACGCUCGGUGGAAGAGGACAACCUCCCCCGAGAGGGGAGGGACCGCUUCUUCCUCUAAUGGGUUUUUUUUU